UCCCAAGCCUUCUGGCGAUCUCUUAUAAAGAAAGCCCUCCAUAAUAAAUUGAAAAGGGUCCUUUGGGGAAAAGUUUUCCCUUUGCUAAGAUGAAGCCGGGGAAGGUUUUCCGGUUUAUCCCGGAGGGCUUGUAGCUCAGUUGGUUAGAGCGCGCGCUUGAUAAGCGUGAGGUCGGAGGUUCAAGUCCUCCCAGGCCCACCAAUCAUUCUAUCAAUCUAUAAGCGCUUGUGGAAAUUGCUCAUAGAAAACUUUCUUUAUUCAUUUAUGAAAAAUCUCCUUAUAGAGAGAGACGCUUUUCCCUUUGGGUUUGAAAACUCAAAAUUAAAGGUGUUAAAGUGGCUUUAAAGGAAAAGUGACAAAGGAUAAGGAAUAAUGAUUUAAGUUAUCCCUUUUUGGUGAUCUUGAUUUGGGUGUUUUGAAUGCGUUAUGUUUUUUAGGGGGGGCCGUAGCUCAGCUGGGAGAGCACCUGCUUUGCAAGCAGGGGG
Molecule: unclassified non-coding RNA, 485 nt
Filed under: uncultured Bartonella sp.
Lineage: Bacteria; Pseudomonadati; Pseudomonadota; Alphaproteobacteria; Hyphomicrobiales; Bartonellaceae
Description: partial 16S-23S ribosomal RNA intergenic spacer
Rfam family: tRNA (bases 125-198)
Source: RNAcentral